CAGUAGCCACGGUAAUACGGAGGGUGCAAGCGUUAAUCGGAAUUACUGGGCGUAAAGCGUGCGUAGGCGGUUCGUUAAGUCUGAUGUGAAAGCCCCCGGCUCAACCGGGGAGGGUCAUUGGAAACUGGGAAACUUGAGUGCAGAAGAGGAGAGUGGAAUUCCACGUGUAGCGGUGAAAUGCGUAGAGAUGUGGAGGAACACCAGUGGCGAAGGCGACUCUCUGGUCUGUAACUGACGCUGAGGAGCGAAAGCGUGGGGAGCGAACAGGAUUAGAUACCCCGGUAGUCCCUGUCUCUUAUAC
This 301-nucleotide ribosomal RNA is filed under the name uncultured bacterium. Its description in RNAcentral is "partial 16S ribosomal RNA". It matches the Rfam family "Bacterial small subunit ribosomal RNA", at positions 509 to 807 of the family's 1533-position model. The record is from RNAcentral.